This 4316-nucleotide long non-coding RNA is filed under the name Nicotiana benthamiana. RNAcentral's name for it is "long non-coding RNA (NBEN_LNC017473)". The record is from RNAcentral. Lineage: Eukaryota; Viridiplantae; Streptophyta; Magnoliopsida; Solanales; Solanaceae.
CACAUAACACCUUUCCUCCAAAAUAUUUCCCCACCUAAGACCUUCCUCCCAAAAAUAUUAUCUCACAUAACACCUUCUCCCAAAUAAAACUCCCCCAUUACACACACUCUAUAAAACUCAUCCAACUUUCUUUUUCAAAAAAAGAGAAAAGGAAAAAAGAGACGGCCCUAUCUCAAAAUCACAAAAUCAGCUCAAAAGAAACCCAACAAAAAUGCCAUUGAAGCAGCUCCGAAACUUCUCCAUUCUCAUAUAUACAUCCUGCUCAUACACUUCACGGGCAGACACACACAGAUCUGAAAUUCAUGGUUACAAAGUUGGGUUCAAUUUCAGUUCGUUUUUUUACACUUUUGGGGAAUUUUCAUAGUUUAGUGAAGCUGUUGAGUUUGUUUUGAAUCCAUAAAAGAAAAUACAUGGAUUCCGGUAUCUUUGAAUAUAGAAAUCUGUAGCAAAAAAUUAAGAGCAAAAUUGUUUGAAGUUGCUACUGCCUUGUCUUCUCAUUUUCUGGGAUUCUGAAGUUUGUGCUGGACAUAUGCUGUUGCAUCUGCUGUAUCUAUUUUGCCGAGCUCUUCGAACUGAUUUGUUGCUCUUAUUUGGCUCAUAUUAACAUCUUCCUUGGUGAAAUAGGUUAGUAUGAUCUCCUCUGUAUUUAUGGUUUCAAUGGAUAAUCAAGUUUAUGGUUUAUAUCACAGUCCUUUUUCAUUUUCUAAUUAACUCUUUUAAUCUGUUGCAUUGUGGACUGUGAUACAAUUUAUUCAUUUAUAUAGCUGGCUUUUGCAUAGUAUCGUGAAGAAUUAUUUCAUUGUUGUAUGUAAGGAUGGGAAGUUUUCUUGCAUAUAAUAAAUUCGAUUCAAGUUGUAGGCCACUGGUAGCUGGACUUUCCUUUGAUUACAUUGCAUAUGCCAGUAAUUGACGUAUAUUUGAAAUACUCGAUUUGUGCGUCUUUAUGGGUGCACACAAGUCCAAUGGUGUAGCGUAAAUUACUGUGUUAGGACCUUUAUGACUUUUUCUGAAAGUGUAACUUCAAUUCUCUCUUAUUUAUGUUUUGCAGCAUUUGGUAAUUGCAAAUGUAAGAUUAUGCUAUCAUAUACUAUACAUUGUUUGUAGCCUAGUGUGUACGAAAAUGGUUUGUCUUGGAAAAGGAAAAAGAAAAUUGGUAAUUGCUAGUUUGAAAGUUGGUUGAUGUGUCAUUUGGCAUUUUAUAAGUUGAGCUUAAUACAAUGUGAAAAUGGUUUGUUUUGGAAAAGGCAAAAGAAAAUUGGUAAUUGCUAGUUUUGAAAGUUAGUUGAUGUGUCAUUUGGAAUUUUAUAAGUUGAGCUUAAUACAAUGUGAAUUUCAUUCAAGUUAAGGUUAGGCAUGAUUAGUGCCUCAUUCUGUUAGUUCCAACCUCACUGAUUCAUUAUGUAAUUUCAUUUAAGGGCAUAACUCAUUCCACAUGCUCUCAUUUUUUAAAUUAUCAACUAUUCAUAUGCAUGGAACCUUACAAUGCCUUAUACUAUGAUGCUUGCCGAAAUUACUUGCAUGCGAAUCUGUUGGAGUCUGCGAUAUUUUCCUUUAUAUUUGAUUGUCUAGAAUUCAUUCUACUUGCUCAUCUCGACGAGUGGUCUAGAAUAAUAAUCUUUGAAUAUUCGUAGUUUGCUUUAGUUAAGUAAAAUCCUUUUAAAAUAUAUUGAGGUGUGCCGCGUCAAAUAAAAUUACAAAUUGUGUGGCACUCAUUAAUUAUUUCUUUAAAAUAUUUAGAACUCGAGGCGUGCCAUUUAGCUAAUUUUUAUGGCUUUCGCAAAGUUAAAAAGGCGUAGUUGCUUUAGGCGCGUAAUUAAAUUACCUUCCUUAAACCCGGGUGCGCAUUGAUGCGACACAAAUCCAAAUCUCGACGAAGUCGAAAUGUGUUGACAAACACGGCUGCAUUGAUUGCAAUGGUUCAAAACGCAUUUUCAUAACGUCGCAAUUCUUUUAAAAUAAACGAUGAUAAAAAGCGAUUUGCAAAUAAAAGACAUAUAAGCUAGCAUGUAUUAAAAUCAGAUAAAAUCAAAUACAACAGCUGAGCGACCGUGCUAGAACCACGGAACUCGGGAAUACCUAACACCUUCUCCCAGGUUAACAGAACUCCUUAUCCGGAAUUCUGGUUCGCCGACUGUUACAGAGUCAUAUUUUUCCUCGGUUCGGGAUUCAACCGGUGUCUUGGGACACCAUUAAUCUCCCAAGUGGUGACUUUAAAUUUUAAUAAACAAAUCCCGUUCCGAUUGUUCUUUAAUUGGAAAAACUCCUUUACGCCCCUCGAGGGUGUAGGUGAGAAAGGAGGUGUGACAGCUCUGGCGACUCUGCUGAGGACAAGAACCCAGAACGGUUUGUUCAGGGUUCAGAAUUUGAGCUUAAAUAAAUUGUUGCAUUUGGCUAUAUCUGAUUUUCCUACAUGUUUCAUGCUUAAUGUGCUAAAUGUUACUGCUUUGAUUUAUUUGAAUUGUAUAUAAACAGUGCCGACACCCUUCUCUCUUCACCUCUGGGGAUGUUCUUACUGGUUGAUACACCCUAUUCAAUUAGUGUCAUACCCUAAAAUACGAAAGAAGCCGGAUAAGUUGCAAAGCCGGUUGAUCUCGCAGGUUACCGGUACAUUUCCCCCUCCUCGAUUCGAGUUGUCCGCUCGGGUACACAGUCUAGAACACAUACCCAGGUUUUGAACCUAGAAUAACGUGACUUCAUGCCGAAUCCCUAGUAGGAGCGCUUCUUUGCAUCAUGCUGCAUUUGACUUAAGGGACUCAACAUAGGGUUGGGUUCGUCUAGGAUUAGCAACCUGAAAUGAAAAAGACCAUCCUGUGCAACUUACUUGUUCUGUACAUAUAUUUGUUUCGCACCUGCAUGUUGACCGAUUUUUGAAUCUCAUGAAUAUUGAAAAACUUAAAAAAAAAAAGAGAAAAAGAGAGAAAUAACAGUUAGGGAGUCAUUUGAUUAUUUUAGAAAAACAAUGACCAAGUACUGUCGAAACUCUGCCGAAAUUUUGAGAAAAUAAAAAAAGAAGGAAAAUGUUUUACUAAACAAGCAAAGAAAAAUAGAAAAAGAGUAUUUUUUUUUUGGAAAGUUAUUUGUUAAAAAAUAAAAUUAAAAAAAGUCUUUAUUUUAGUUAGGAAAAAUAUGUUUUUUUUAUUGUUUGUUGAAAAUGAAAAAAGGAAAAAAAAAGAGUGGUUAUUUUAUCUUGUUUUCAAAAAUAGAAAAGAAAAGUAGUUUGUCUUGCCAUAAAAAACAAAAAUGAUAAAGAGUCUUGUUUUAUUUAAAAAAUAGUUUUUUAUUUAUUUGUUUAUGAAAUGCCAAAAAUAAAAAUAAAAAAGAGUCGUGCUUUUGAAAGAAGUCUUGUUAUUUGCGUAUGAAAUGCCAAAAAUAGAAAUGGAAAAAGUCUUGCUUUUGAAAGAAGUCUUGUUAUUUGCUUAUGAAAUACCAAAAUGGAAAAUAAAAAGAGUCUUGUUUUAAAAUAGUUCAGUUAAUUUGAUUCUCACAGCCUCCCCUUUUUAAAAAUAUAGCCCAAAAUGUCAAAAUUUUAAUUUUUGUCAUAAAUAAACCAGGUGAAGCCGUUCUUAUCAAAAAUAGCCAAAUGUUCCCAGACGGGGCGCCGGAAGGCUGACUUUGCAUAAACAGCCACCUUUGGUCAUAUUUUGAGUUUUGACCCUCACGACCUUAAAAUCUUCGUCCCCGAGGCACUGAAAGGCCCUGUUUGCAAUACUGGGUAAUUUAUUUCAAUUUGAAAAACAAGAAAAGAAUUACAAAUAAGUUGGGUGAUGCCGUUUUUGUCAAAAAUAGCCAAAUGUUCCCAAACGGGGCGCGGAAGACUGACUUUGCAUAAACAGCCACCUUUGGUCACAUUUUUAUUCGGACCCUCACAACCUUAAAAUCUUCGUUCCCGAGGCACUGGAAGGCCGUGUUUGCAAUACUGGGUCAUUUAUUUUAAUUUGAAAAAUAAGAAAAAAGAGUCAGUGGUCAUGUGAAUACCAUUCCAAUUUAGGGUCAAAAUUGGCAUAUAGGGGAAGGAAUCUGUCAUUUUGCUUUUGGGUUUUGUAUUUCUUUUGAUUAGAGUAUAUGGGUCGUUUGAUUUUCGAGUCUGUAUUUCAUCGUUAAGUUGGUCAGUUUUGUUGUUACUAUGAAAAUGGAAAACUCCAAAAAUGUUUAUUGUCAUUUACCUUUUAUUUGACAGAACUACGCUCGGUCUGGUUCAUGCGGGGUCAUGAGGCAAUCCACAUAGGAUUCGACCAUAACCAAAUAAAAAAAAGAAAAAAGAAAAGAGAGGAAAAACAAGGAAAAGAGAAAAGAAAGAAAAUAAGGCAAAAACAAAC